This 459-nucleotide ribosomal RNA is filed under the name uncultured bacterium. Its description in RNAcentral is "bacterial SSU rRNA". It matches the Rfam family "Bacterial small subunit ribosomal RNA", at positions 28 to 487 of the family's 1533-position model. The record is from RNAcentral.
GACGAACGCUGGCGGCGUGCCUAACACAUGCAAGUCAACUUGACUGAAGGAGCAAUCUGGCAGUAGAGUGGCGCAAGGGUGCGUAACGCGUAAGUAACUUGCCCAAGGUAAGGAAUAACGUCGAGAAAUCGGCGCUAAUACCUCAUAAUGCAGCGGAUCCGCAUGGAUAUGUUGUUAAAGGUUUACCGCCUUGGGAUAGGCUUGCGUCUGAUUAGCUAGUUGGUGUGGUAACGGCACACCAAGGCUACGAUCAGUAACUGGUCUGAGAGGAUGAUCAGUCACACUGGAACUGAGACACGGUCCAGACUCCUACGGGAGGCAGCAGUGAGGAAUAUUGGGCAAUGCUCGAAAGAGUGACCCAGCAACGCCGCGUGGAGGAUGAAGGUAUUCUAUAUCGUAAACUCCUGUGAGAGCAGACGAAAGACAGAUUAUUAAUCUGGAUGACUGUAUGCUCAGAGG